ACGUAGGCGGACAAAUAAGUUUGAUGUCAAAUAUGAUGGCUCAACCAUCAAGAGGCGUUGAAAACUGUUUAUCUAGAAUCUCGGAGAGGUAAGUGGAAUUCCAUGUGUAGCGGUGGAAUGCGUAGAUAUAUGGAGGAACACCAAUGGCGAAGGCAGCUUACUGGACGAAGAUUGACGCUGAGGUGCGAAAGCGUGGGUAGCAAACAGGAUUAGAUACCCUGGUAG
RNAcentral lists this ribosomal RNA (225 nucleotides) under uncultured bacterium. Its description in RNAcentral is "partial 16S ribosomal RNA". It matches the Rfam family "Bacterial small subunit ribosomal RNA", at positions 569 to 793 of the family's 1533-position model. The record is from RNAcentral.